UUUGUGAAUCUAUUGGGAUCGGGAUUGACUGAGUUUAGUGAUUUCUCUCAACUCUUAACUACUGUACUUAGCUUCUCUUUUCCCAGGGCAAGCUAAGCAGACUAGCAGAGAGUGUGUGUGUGUGUGUGUGUAAGGAGAAAGCAUGAGUGGAGAAGAGGCGGCGGGGCCCCCAGGCCCAAAGGCCCUACGUCUGCUGUAUUUCGUUGGCGCUGGAUUCAUAUGCACGGCUGCAAUCAACAAGUGGCGAGAACUGGAGCGAAAGGCAGUCCUAAAGAAAGAGCAGCAAUUGCCUCCAACUCCAAAUUCUCCUGAUACGGUACAAUAAGCCGUCGAUUAAUCAUCCCAACUCUUGUCUUUUUUUCUUCUUUUUUUGGGUUGUGGUUUCGGGAUCUAAUAAUAGCACACAAUUUCAAUUUAUGUCUUUUCACCGUUGUUUUCUGAUUAUAACAUAUGAUUAUGACGAUGAACUGAGAGACUCUUCUCAUGGAUUUGAGUAUUUUACUUAUUAGUCAAUAUUUGUAGCUUUUUUUUU
Quercus lobata is the source of this 532-nucleotide long non-coding RNA. RefSeq lists it as uncharacterized. The record is from RefSeq and is a predicted model, not a curated record. The transcript has 2 exons. Lineage: Eukaryota; Viridiplantae; Streptophyta; Magnoliopsida; Fagales; Fagaceae.